Molecule: long non-coding RNA, 733 nt
Filed under: Ananas comosus (pineapple)
Lineage: Eukaryota; Viridiplantae; Streptophyta; Magnoliopsida; Poales; Bromeliaceae
Description: long non-coding RNA (ACOM_LNC007578)
Source: RNAcentral
UCCAUACCCGAAAUUUUAUCUAAAUUCGAACCCGAACGUGAAUGAAGUGGAUUUAGCCGAUGCUAAACAAAAUGGUCUCGGAUAUGGGUAUUAAAAAUAAAAAUUAAACAGAUAUGAAUUCGGAUAUGAAUUUUAACUGUACCGAACCUAAAUUUAUUUUAUAUUAUAUAUAAUAUGUAUAUAAAAAUUUGAUAUUAUAUUUGAAUCUGUAUUUUAAAAUUUUAGAUUUAAUGUAAUAUAGUUUGAAAUAUUGAAAAAAGAUAUAAUUGUUUCAGGUUCGAGUUCGGGUUCAGGUUCAAGUUCGGAUUCGAGUUUUUAAAAAUUCGCCGUGAAUCCAAGCCGUUGACAUCCCUAAGCAACCGUGAGUAUAAGGAGGCAAACGGUGCGGAUCAUGAUUCUUGAGGCAUUUACGGGUUAAAAAUUCGAAUUGUCAAUCCACGCCGCCAAAUUUGAUCUACGUUAUUUGGACAUAUUAAACUUUAAAUUUCGUAAUUUUAUGAUAUCAUUUGCAGUGUGCUGGGUCGUCUAAAAAUUAAAUAAUUUUUAACGGCUAAUAUAAAGUGAACUUGAGAUUACGAGGCAAAUAGUAUCGUAACAUCGUAAAAUUUGAAAUAUAAGAAUGUUUAAAUAGGUUAGAUUAAGUUUAGCAGUAUGGAUUGUCUACUCGGACUUUCAUCGCCGGAACGACCUAGAAGCACUCCCCUUAAUGCUUUCAGAAAUACAUGUAUACGUA